GACGAACGCUGGCGGCGUGCCUAAUACAUGCAAGUUGAGCGCUGAAGGUUGGUACUUGUACCAACUGGAUGAGCAGCGAACGGGUGAGUAACGCGUGGGGAAUCUGCCUUUGAGCGGGGGACAACAUUUGGAAACGAAUGCUAAUACCGCAUAAAAACUUUAAACACAAGUUUUAAGUUUGAAAGAUGCAAUUGCAUCACUCAAAGAUGAUCCCGCGUUGUAUUAGCUAGUUGGUGAGGUAAAGGCUCACCAAGGCGAUGAGACAUAGCCGACCUGAGAGGGUGAUCGGCCACAGUGGGACUGAGACACGGCCCAAACUCCUACGGGAGGCAGCAGUAGGGAAUCUUCGGCAAUGGACGAAAGGCUGACCGAGCAACGCCGCGUGAGUGAAGAAGGGUUUCGGAUCGUAAAACUCUGUUGGUAGAGAAGAACGUUGGUGAGAGUGGAAAGCUCAUCAAGUGACGGUAACUACCCAGAAAGGGACGGCUAACUACGUG
Molecule: ribosomal RNA, 497 nt
Filed under: uncultured bacterium
Lineage: Bacteria
Description: partial 16S ribosomal RNA
Rfam family: Bacterial small subunit ribosomal RNA
Source: RNAcentral